UCCAAAUGACCCAGAAGAGCCGCCCUCCC
Molecule: non-coding RNA, 29 nt
Filed under: Mus musculus (house mouse)
Lineage: Eukaryota; Metazoa; Chordata; Mammalia; Rodentia; Muridae
Source: RNAcentral